Polyodon spathula (Mississippi paddlefish) is the source of this 498-nucleotide long non-coding RNA. RefSeq lists it as uncharacterized. Lineage: Eukaryota; Metazoa; Chordata; Actinopteri; Acipenseriformes; Polyodontidae. The transcript has 3 exons. The record is from RefSeq and is a predicted model, not a curated record.
UGCGAGGAGGUUUUUCCUCUAUCCGUGUUGGAGGAACUGAUCCCGGUCUGCGCAGUUGUUGUGAGCGGUUGAAGAGGCGUGUGAACUUUUAUUAUCCUUUAACAUUUGAAUCUGUUUCAAUCAGGCGUUCAAAUAAUCCAUCCGAUUGUUUGCUUGCAUAUAUACUUUGACUUUCUUUCCGAUCCUUCCGUUUAACUAUGAGGGCGAAGUGGCGGAAGAAGCGCAUGCGCAGGCUGAAGCGCAAGAGGAGAAAGAUGAGGCAGAGGUCCAAGUAAACCUGCUGCGCCCACUGCUCCAGAUCCAAGACCUGAACCGUCCAAUGGACUGAGCACAGGAGACAAAGUCUGCAAGAAGUCUUUGAAGCAGUGCUGUUGAGACUGACCUGAGUCUAUCGCUGACCUUCUACAGCUCUUCUUGCACGUUGUAUUACCUCCUGUGGUGGGGGGUGUGUUGGGGUGUUGUGUUGUGUGGUGGUUUUUUUUUUUUUUUUUUUUUAAA